AUUGAACGCUGGCGGCAGGCCUAACACAUGCAAGUCGAACGAGGGGCGGACGGGUGAGUACUGUCUGGGAAACUGCCAGAUGGAGGGGGAUAACUAAUGGAACAGGUAGCUAAUACAGCAUACCAUCAGAUGUGCCCAGAUGGGAUUAGCUUGUGGGUGGGGUAACGGCUCACCAAGGCGAAGAUCCCUAGCUGGUCUGAGAGGAUGACCAGCCAAUCUGGAACUGAGACACGGUCCAGACUCCUACGGUAGGCAGAAGUGGGGAAUAUUGCACAAGGGGCGCAAGCCUGAUGCAGCCAUGCCGCGGGUAUGAAGAAGGCCUUCGGGUUGUAAAGUACUUUCAGCGGGGAGGCGUUACCCGCAGAAGAAGCACCGGCUAACUCCGUGCCAGCAGCCGCGGUAAUAC
Molecule: ribosomal RNA, 406 nt
Filed under: uncultured bacterium
Lineage: Bacteria
Description: partial 16S ribosomal RNA
Rfam family: Bacterial small subunit ribosomal RNA
Source: RNAcentral